CCCAGCCUUGAAAGGUUGGGCUAUUGUAUUCCGUCCCUACCGGGACU
Pirellula sp. SH-Sr6A is the source of this 47-nucleotide small RNA. It matches the Rfam family "Acido-Lenti-1 RNA". The record is from Rfam. NCBI's taxonomy places the organism in Bacteria, Pseudomonadati, Planctomycetota, Planctomycetia, Pirellulales, Pirellulaceae.